CCUACGGGGGGCAGCAGUAAGGGAUAUUGGUCAAUGGGGGAAACCCUGAACCAGCAACGCCGCGUGAGGGAAGACGGUUUUCGGAUUGUAAACCUCUGUCCUCUGUGAAGAUGAUGACGGUAGCAGAGGAGGAAGCUCCGGCUAACUACGUGCCAGCAGCCGCGGUAAUACGUAGGGAGCGAGCGUUGUCCGGAUUUACUGGGUGUAAAGGGUGCGUAGGCGGCUUGGCAAGUCAGUAGUGAAAUCCAUGGGCUUAACCCAUGAACUGCUAUUGAAACUGUCGAGCUUGAGUGAAGUAGAGGUAG
This 305-nucleotide ribosomal RNA is filed under the name uncultured bacterium. Its description in RNAcentral is "bacterial SSU rRNA". It matches the Rfam family "Bacterial small subunit ribosomal RNA", at positions 338 to 660 of the family's 1533-position model. The record is from RNAcentral.